Molecule: ribosomal RNA, 440 nt
Filed under: uncultured bacterium
Lineage: Bacteria
Description: partial 16S ribosomal RNA
Rfam family: Bacterial small subunit ribosomal RNA
Source: RNAcentral
CUACGGGUCGCACCAGUGGGGAAUAUUGCACAAUGGGCGCAAGCCUGAUGCAGCAGCGCCGCGUGAACGAUGAAGGCCUUCGGGUUGUAAAGUUCUUUUCUUAGGGAAGAAUAAAUGACGGUACCUAAGGAAUCAGCCCCGGCUAACUACGUGCCAGCAGCCGCGGUAAUACGUAGGGGGCAAGCGUUAUCCGGAAUCACUGGGCGUAAAGGGAGUGUAGGCGGUCAAGCAAGUCAGGGGUGAAAGGCAUCGGCUCAACCGAUGUAAGCCUUUGAAACUGUUUGACUUGAGUGCAGGAGAGGUAAGUGGAAUUCCUAGUGUAGCGGUGAAAUGCGUAGAUAUUAGGAGGAACACCAGUGGCGAAGGCGACUUACUGGACUGUAACUGACGCUGAGGCUCGAAAGCGUGGGGAGCGAACAGGAUUAGAUACCCCCGUAGUC